AGCACACGGAGGAGAUUAACAAGGAGAGUUGCCGCUCAUGCGCGCUCAAUCAGCUAUCAGACUGCUGCGCACCGGGCUGGGGAGGGAGCGCUCUGCUCUGCUGCAGGUAACCCCUGUGUCCAAAGCUCCAUGCACGGUCAACGCAUCUGAGCUCCACUACGGAGAUAUCAUGCUCUGCUGCAUUUACUGACACCUUGUUCUGCUUCUGUGCAGCAAUUACUGGCAGUCUGAUUUCCACCGAGUUGCAAUGUACUGUUAGCGUGUAAUGUCCAAAACUGUACAAUGUUCGGCACUGCAUUCACUGUCACACUUUCCUAACUUGCAUCACUUGGAUUUCCAGUUCUAUGGAAGACUUAUCAGAAAACGUUCACGUUUAAAAAGCUGAAAUGCAGAAUACAGUAGCGUCAUUAUCUGGGCUGGGUGCACGCUGCCUGUGUGUUUGGUGCACAUUAAUCCUAUGACAAGCUCCAAUCGUUUCAUUAUACAAAGACUGUGACUUGUGGAUAGAACAUUUAUAGCUUUAUAUUUCCUCUAUCCUCUAAGCAGAUGCGCGUUGUUUAUUACUAGUUACCUUUCGUGUGUGUGUCGGUGUCAUUAGUUCUGGGCCACAGAGUGUAAUCCGCACUUGUGUGUGUUUAUUGCCCACUAACCGUGCAGUUACCCCUAAGGCUAAUUGCUUUAGUUAUGCCACAUUAACCCAUUUCGUUGCAGGUCCUUUAAUCACUCCGAUAAUUCCUCUGAAAGGGACAGGUAGCAAUGAUUACAAAUAUAACAAUACAAAGUUAUAAACCCGAUCUGUGAUUGUCAACACCCCCACUCCCUCCUCUCCCCUAUAUGACAUUUUCCUGUUUGUUUUGUACAGUACUGUAAUGUCUCAAAAGCAUUAUUUCAGCUGUGAACUAUGUAAUAUUAAAGUUCACAUUUUGCAACACUAAAAAUGGUCAGAGUUCUUAAAUAAAAUAUCUAUUUUCUACCACUCCA
Long non-coding RNA from Pseudophryne corroboree (corroboree frog), 981 nucleotides. RefSeq lists it as uncharacterized. The record is from RefSeq and is a predicted model, not a curated record. The transcript has 2 exons. Lineage: Eukaryota; Metazoa; Chordata; Amphibia; Anura; Myobatrachidae.